UACGUAGGGUGCAAGCGUUGUCCGGAAUUAUUGGGCGUAAAGAGCUCGUAGGCGGUCUGUCGCGUCGGCUGUGAAAACCCGGGGCUCAACCCCGGGCCUGCAGUCGAUACGGGCAGACUAGAGUGCGGUAGGGGAGACUGGAAUUCCUGGUGUAGCGGUGAAAUGCGCAGAUAUCAGGAGGAACACCGGUGGCGAAGGCGGGUCUCUGGGCCUGUACUGACGCUGAGGAGCGAAAGCGUGGGGAGCGAACAGG
This 253-nucleotide ribosomal RNA is filed under the name uncultured bacterium. RNAcentral describes it as "partial 16S ribosomal RNA". It matches the Rfam family "Bacterial small subunit ribosomal RNA", at positions 524 to 776 of the family's 1533-position model. The record is from RNAcentral.